This 2939-nucleotide ribosomal RNA is filed under the name Providencia rettgeri. RNAcentral's name for it is "23S ribosomal RNA". It matches the Rfam family "Bacterial large subunit ribosomal RNA". The record is from RNAcentral. Lineage: Bacteria; Pseudomonadati; Pseudomonadota; Gammaproteobacteria; Enterobacterales; Morganellaceae.
GGGUUGUGAGGUUAAGCGACUAAGCGUACACGGUGGAUGCCUAGGCAAUCAGAGGCGAUGAAGGACGUGCUAAUCUGCGAUAAGCGUCGGUAAGGUGAUAUGAACCGUUACAACCGACGAUUUCCGAAUGGGGAAACCCAGUGCAAUUCGUUGCACUAUCGUUUGAUGAAUACAUAGUCAAACGAAGCGAACCGGGGGAACUGAAACAUCUCAGUACCCCGAGGAAAAGAAAUCAACCGAGAUUCCCCUAGUAGCGGCGAGCGAACGGGGAGCAGCCCAGAGUCUUAAUCAGCAUUAGCAUCAGGAGAACGGUCUGGAAAGUCCGGCAGUAAAGGGUGAUAGCCCCGUAUCCGAAGGUGUUAGUGUUGUGAACUCGACGAGUAGGGCGGGACACGUGUUAUCCUGUCUGAAUAUGGGGGGACCAUCCUCCAAGGCUAAAUACUCCUGAUUGACCGAUAGUGAACCAGUACCGUGAGGGAAAGGCGAAAAGAACCCCGGCGAGGGGAGUGAAAUAGAACCUGAAACCGUGUACGUACAAGCAGUGGGAGCCUUGAUUUAUCAGGGUGACUGCGUACCUUUUGUAUAAUGGGUCAGCGACUUAUAUUCUGUAGCAAGGUUAACCGUAUAGGGGAGCCGUAGGGAAACCGAGUCUUAACUGGGCGAAUGAGUUGCAGGGUAUAGACCCGAAACCCGGUGAUCUAGCCAUGGGCAGGUUGAAGGUUGGGUAACACUAACUGGAGGACCGAACCGACUAAUGUUGAAAAAUUAGCGGAUGACUUGUGGCUGGGGGUGAAAGGCCAAUCAAACCGGGAGAUAGCUGGUUCUCCCCGAAAGCUAUUUAGGUAGCGCCUCGUGAACUCAUCUUCGGGGGUAGAGCACUGUUUCGACUAGGGGGUCAUCCCGACUUACCAACUCGAUGCAAACUACGAAUACCGAAGAAUGUUAUCACGGGAGACACACGGCGGGUGCUAACGUUCGUCGUGAAGAGGGAAACAACCCAGACCGCCAGCUAAGGUCCCAAAGUCAUAGUUAAGUGGGAAACGAAGUGGGAAGGCUCAGACAGCCAGGAUGUUGGCUUAGAAGCAGCCAUCAUUUAAAGAAAGCGUAAUAGCUCACUGGUCGAGUCGGCCUGCGCGGAAGAUGUAACGGGGCUAAACUAUGCACCGAAGCUGCGGCAGCGAUAUGUAAAUAUUGUUGGGUAGGGGAGCGUUCUGUAAGCCUGUGAAGGUGUGCUGUGAGGCAUGCUGGAGGUAUCAGAAGUGCGAAUGCUGACAUAAGUAACGAUAAUGCGGGUGAAAAACCCGCACGCCGGAAGACCAAGGGUUCCUGUCCAACGUUAAUCGGGGCAGGGUGAGUCGACCCCUAAGGCGAGGCAGAAAUGCGUAGUCGAUGGGAAACGGGUUAAUAUUCCCGUACUGGUGAUAAUUGCGAUGGGGGGACGGAGAAGGCUAGGCUAUCCGGGCGACGGUUGUCCCGGUUUAAGGAUGUAGGCAGGUGAAUUAGGCAAAUCCGGUUCACUAUAUGCUGAGGUCCGACGACGAGUCACUACGGUGAUGAAGUAGCUCAUGCCCCGCUUCCAGGAAAAGCCUCUAAGCUCUAGAUUAUCAUUAAUCGUACCCCAAACCGACACAGGUGGUCAGGUAGAGAAUACUCAGGCGCUUGAGAGAACUCGGGUGAAGGAACUAGGCAAAAUGGUGCCGUAACUUCGGGAGAAGGCACGCUGGCAUUAGGUGAAGUGAUUUACUCAUGGAGCUGAAGCCAGUCGCAGAUACCAGCUGGCUGCAACUGUUUAUUAAAAACACAGCACUGUGCAAACACGAAAGUGGACGUAUACGGUGUGACGCCUGCCCGGUGCUGGAAGGUUAAUUGAUGGGGUUAUCCGUAAGGAGAAGCUCUUGAUCGAAGCCCCAGUAAACGGCGGCCGUAACUAUAACGGUCCUAAGGUAGCGAAAUUCCUUGUCGGGUAAGUUCCGACCUGCACGAAUGGCGUAAUGAUGGCCAGGCUGUCUCCACCCGAGACUCAGUGAAAUUGAACUCGCUGUGAAGAUGCAGUGUACCCGCGGCAAGACGGAAAGACCCCGUGAACCUUUACUAUAGCUUGACACUGAACAUUGAGCCUUGAUGUGUAGGAUAGGUGGGAGGCUUUGAAGCGUGGACGCCAGUCUGCGUGGAGCCAACCUUGAAAUACCACCCUUUAAUGUUUGAUGUUCUAACGUUGCCCCAUUAUCUGGGGUGCGGACAGUGUCUGGUGGGUAGUUUGACUGGGGCGGUCUCCUCCCAAAGAGUAACGGAGGAGCACGAAGGUUGGCUAAGCAUGGUCGGACAUCAUGCGGUUAGUGCAAAGGCAUAAGCCAGCUUGACUGCGAGAGUGACGGCUCGAGCAGGUACGAAAGUAGGUCUUAGUGAUCCGGUGGUUCUGAAUGGAAGGGCCAUCGCUCAACGGAUAAAAGGUACUCCGGGGAUAACAGGCUGAUACCGCCCAAGAGUUCAUAUCGACGGCGGUGUUUGGCACCUCGAUGUCGGCUCAUCACAUCCUGGGGCUGAAGUAGGUCCCAAGGGUACGGCUGUUCGCCGUUUAAAGUGGUACGCGAGCUGGGUUUAGAACGUCGUGAGACAGUUCGGUCCCUAUCUGCCGUGGGCGUUGGAAGAUUGAAAGGGGCUGCUCCUAGUACGAGAGGACCGGAGUGGACGCACCACUGGUGUUCGGGUUGUCAUGCCAAUGGCAUUGCCCGGUAGCUAAGUGCGGAAGAGAUAACCGCUGAAAGCAUCUAAGCGGGAAACUUGCCUUGAGAUGAGUCUUCCCUGACUCUUUAAGGGUCCUAAAGGAACGUUUAAGACUAAGACGUUGAUAGGUUGGGUGUGUAAGCGUAGCGAUACGUUGAGCUAACCAAUACUAAUGAACCGUGAGGCUUAACCUGACAACACCGAAGGUGUUUUAG